This is a non-coding RNA of Schistocerca piceifrons (Central American locust), 75 nucleotides long. NCBI's taxonomy places the organism in Eukaryota, Metazoa, Arthropoda, Insecta, Orthoptera, Acrididae. The record is from the annotation of a RefSeq genome assembly.
GUCCUCGAUGGCUCAGGUGGUUAGAGCAUCUGCCAUGUAAGCAGAAGAUCCCGGGUUCAAGUCCCGGUUGGGACA